CAAUGAAAUGUGAUCUCUUGUGACCACCCAAAGCUUGUCCUGAUUUAAACACCCUGAAGCAUAUCGGACACUCGUGAACUUUGCUACUUUUGUUUGCACCACUUGCUUUCUUAAGCAUCUUGCAAUCACCGGACCUAUGAAUCUUCAUGUUUCUGUCUGCACAAGAAUCACUUUCAUAAGAAGAAGGCAAGACCCUUUUGCUUUUGCGCAGCUGAUACUUUGAUCCUCCCUCCUUGACCCCAAGCUCAUCACCAUUCUUGAAACUGUUGAGUUCAGUGUUC
Brassica rapa (field mustard) is the source of this 281-nucleotide long non-coding RNA. RefSeq lists it as uncharacterized. NCBI's taxonomy places the organism in Eukaryota, Viridiplantae, Streptophyta, Magnoliopsida, Brassicales, Brassicaceae. The record is from RefSeq and is a predicted model, not a curated record.